CCUACGGGAGGCAGCAGCAGGGAAUUUUGCGCAAUGGGCGAAAGCCUGACGCAGCAACGCCGCGUGAGGGAAGAAGGCCUUCGGGUUGUAAACCUCUUUUGUCAGGGAAGAAUAAUGACGGUACCUGAUGAAUAAGUCACGGCUAACUACGUGCCAGCGGCUGCGGUAAUACGUAGGUGGCAAGCGUUAUCCGGAUUCAUUGGGCGUAAAGAGCGCGUAGGUGGUCCUUCAAGUCACAUGUUAAAUUUCUCGGCUUAACUGGGAAUGGUCAUCUGAUACUGCUGGACUUGAGGGCGGUAGAGGGAGGUGGAAUUCCCGGUGUAGUGGUGAAAUGCGUAGAUAUCGGGAGGAACACCAGUGGCGAAAGCGGCCUCCUAGGCCGUUCCUGACACUGAGGCGCGAAAGCGUGGGGAGCGAACAGGAUCAGAUACCCUGGUAGUCCACGCCCUAAACUGUGGAAACUAGGUACAGGGAGUAUCGACCCUUCCUGCGCCGUAGCUAACGCGUUAAGUUUCCCGCCUGGGGACUACGGUCGCAAGACUAAAACUCAAAUGAAUUGACGGUGGGCCUUUUCCUAGGCUACCCC
This 586-nucleotide ribosomal RNA is filed under the name uncultured bacterium. Its description in RNAcentral is "bacterial SSU rRNA". It matches the Rfam family "Bacterial small subunit ribosomal RNA", at positions 338 to 1363 of the family's 1533-position model. The record is from RNAcentral.